GUAUAGGAGCUGACGCCUGCCCGGUGCUGGAAGGUUAAGGGGAUCUGUUAGAGCAAUCGAAGCAGUGAACUUAAGCCCCAGUAAACGGCGGCCGUAACUAGAACGGUCCUAAGGUAGCGAAAUUCCUUGUCGGGUAAGUUCCGACCCGCACGAAAGGCGUAACGAUUUGGGCACUGUCUCAACAACAGACUCGGUGAAAUUGUAAUUCCGGUGAAGAUGCCGGAUACCUGCGACAGGACGGAAAGACCCCAUGGAGCUUUACUGUAGCUUGACAUUGGGUCU
RNAcentral lists this ribosomal RNA (282 nucleotides) under Clostridioides difficile. Its description in RNAcentral is "partial 23S ribosomal RNA". It matches the Rfam family "Bacterial large subunit ribosomal RNA", at positions 1843 to 2124 of the family's 2925-position model. Lineage: Bacteria; Bacillati; Bacillota; Clostridia; Peptostreptococcales; Peptostreptococcaceae. The record is from RNAcentral.